UGAAUACGAGACGCUACGGCGUCGAAGCAGUCUAUGUCAUACUUCCAAGAAAAGCUCGCAAUGUCAUAAACAAAUAAUGCCUGUACCAUAACCGACACAGGUGGGUAGGUAGAGUAUACUAAGGGGCGCGAGAUAACUCUCUCUAAGGAACUCGGCAAAAUGACUCCGUAACUUCGGGAGAAGGAGUGCCUUAUUUAUAAGGUUGCAAUAACAAGAUCCAAGCAACUGUUUAUCAAAAACACAGGUCUCCGCUAAGUCGUAAGACGAUGUAUGGGGGCUGACGCCUGCCCAGUGCCAGAAGGUUAAAGAAGUUGGUUAGCAUUCGCGAAGCUGAUAACUGAAGCCCUGGUGAACGGCGGCCGUAACAAUAACGGUCCUAAGGUAGCGAAAUUCCUUGUCGGGUAAGUUCCGACCCGCACGAAAGGCGUAAUGAUUUGGAUACUGUCUCGGAGAGGGGCUCGGUGAAAUAGACUUGUCUGUGAAGAUGCGGACUACCUGCACCUGGACAGAAAGACCCUAUGAAGCUUUACUGUAACUUGAAAUUGAAAUUGGACUUUAUUUGCGCAGCAUAGGUGGGAGGCGUUGAGAGUAUUCUUGCGGGAAUAUUGGAGCCAUCAGUGAGGUACCACCCUUGUAAUGUUAGAUUUCUAACUUUGGAUCAUUAUCUGGUCAAAGAACAGUUUCAGGCGGGCAGUUUGACUGGGGCGGUCGCCUCCCAAAUGGUAACGGAGGCGUACAAAGGUUUCCUCUGAACGGGUAGAAAUCGUAUCUAGAGUGUAAAGGCAUAAGGAAGCUUGACUGUGAGACCUACAAGUCGAGCAGGGACGAAAGUCGGUCUUAGUGAUCUGACGGUGCUGAGUGGAAAGGCCGUCACUCAACGGAUAAAAGUUACUCUAAGGAUAACAGGCUGAUCUCCCCCAAGAGUUCACAUCGACGGGGAGGUUUGGCACCUCGAUGUCGGCUCAUCGCAUCCUGGGGCGGUGGUACGUCCCAAGGGUUGGGCUGUUCGCCCAUGAAAGCGGUACGCGAGCUGGGUUCAGAACGUCGUGAGACAGUUCGGUCCAUAUCCGGUGUAGGCGUUAGAAUAUUGAGAGGAGCCUUCUUUAGUACGAGAGGACCGAGAAGGACAUACCUCUGGUGUACCAGUUAUUGUGCCAACGGUAAACGCUGGGUAGCUAUGUAUGGAGAGGAUAACCGCUGAAAGCAUCUAAGUGGGAAGCCCACCUCAAGAUAAGUAUUCUCAUC
Molecule: ribosomal RNA, 1245 nt
Filed under: metagenome
Description: bacterial LSU rRNA
Rfam family: Bacterial large subunit ribosomal RNA
Source: RNAcentral